Molecule: ribosomal RNA, 468 nt
Filed under: uncultured bacterium
Lineage: Bacteria
Description: partial 16S ribosomal RNA
Rfam family: Bacterial small subunit ribosomal RNA
Source: RNAcentral
GACGAACGCUGGCGGCGUGCUUAACACAUGCAAGUCGAACGGAAAGGCCCUGCUUUUGUGGGGUGCUCGAGUGGCGAACGGGUGAGUAACAAGUGAGUAACCUGCCCUUGACUUUGGGAUAACUUCAGGAAACUGGGGCUAAUACCGGAUAGGAGCUCCUGCUGCAUGGUGGGGGUUGGAAAGUUUCGGCGGUUGGGGAUGGACUCGCGGCUUAUCAGCUUGUUGGUGGGGUAGUGGCUUACCAAGGCUUUGACGGGUAGCCGGCCUGAGAGGGUGACCGGCCACAUUGGGACGGAGAUACGGCCCAGACUCCUACGGGAGGCAGCAGUGGGGAAUAUUGCACAAUGGGCGGAGGCCUGAUGCAGCAACGCCGCGUGCGGGAUAACGGCCUUCGGGUUGUAAACCGCUUUCGCCUGUGACGAAGCGUGGGUGACGGUAAUGGGUAAAGAAGCACCGGCUAACUACGUG